Molecule: ribosomal RNA, 326 nt
Filed under: uncultured eukaryote
Lineage: Eukaryota
Description: partial 18S ribosomal RNA
Rfam family: Eukaryotic small subunit ribosomal RNA
Source: RNAcentral
CCCUUAGAUGUUCUUGGCCGCACGCGCGCUACACUGAUGCAUUCAACAAGCCUAGCCUUGACCGAGAGGUCCGGGUAAUCUUUGAAACUGCAUCGUGAUGGGGCUAGAUUAUUGCAAUUAUUAAUCUUCAACGAGGAAUGCCUAGUAAGCGUGAUUCAUCAAAUCGCGUUGAUUACGUCCCUGCCCUUUGUACACACCGCCCGUCGCUCCUACCGAUUGAAUGUGUUGGUGAGGAGCUCGGAUUGGCAGCAGUUGGUGGUUCGCCACCGGCUAUUGCUGAGAAGUCCUCCAAACCGCCCCAUUUAGAGGAAGGAGAAGUCGUAACA